This 944-nucleotide long non-coding RNA is filed under the name Marmota monax (woodchuck). The record is from RNAcentral. Lineage: Eukaryota; Metazoa; Chordata; Mammalia; Rodentia; Sciuridae.
GGUCUCAGCAAUGGAAGGGGCCCCUCCUGGCAGAAGUGUGAGUGGAACCCGGGGUUGGUGAGUUGAGAGGGGCACACAGCAGAGGAGGGAAAGGAGACACCUGCAUGCACACGUGUGCACACACACACACACACACACUCAGACACACUCCAGACCGCCUGGACCGCCUGGACCGGCUAUGGAGACGCGGGGGGCACGGCACCCCACUGGUCAGGAGGCAGCUUCUCUCAUCUGAACAGUCCCAGGGGAUGGGAGGGCAGGUGGGUUGUGCACUCAGCAGCGAUGUCCUUGGCCCCAAAGCGCCCUGCCUGGGGAAGAUGAGGGCCCUGUGUCUAGACCAGCAGCAGGCCAAGGUGGGGUGGCCCUCCCUCAGCAAAAUCUGAUCACCUCAGAGCUUCCUGCCCUUGUCCUGGACAGUGAGGUGACAGGGUUCUCAGGAGGAGAAGUGAAGGGACCCUUUCCAUGGGAGAGAUGGGAGGGGAACUGGCCAGGUGAGAAGGGACGGUCUCUUCUAUCCAGCUACACCUGUCCUCUUCCCAUCUGUGUGGCCACAGCAGACCCAACCCUUGUUCUCAGCCACUUUGGAACUUCGCAGAGAUGUGUAGUGAGUACUGGCCCUCGGUCUCCAUCCUUGUCCAGUCAGCAACUAGGUGGACAUUGCUGUGAUCUUGUUCCCAGCUUGUCCACUCAGGGUACUUGGUAAAACAAUAAAAUUAAAUAAAGAAUAUAGGCUGGGCAUGGUGGACAGACACACCUAUAACCCAACUACUUGGGAAGAUCACAACUUCAAAGCCAGCCUGCCUUAGUAAGGGCUGGGGACAUAGUUCAUUGGUAGAGCACUCCUGGGUUUAAUCCUCAGUACUGCAAAAAAUAAAUGAUAAUAAUAAUGACUUAAUAAUAUGCCAUGAUGAUGACAUCAUUCUAAACCUACUUUAGCUUAUUAC